ACAGGGGGAAAAGGGGAGAGAAAAACUCAUCAACAGCAAUGAACCAACCAACCAACCAACCAUGUGAUGUGAAGCUGGAAUAAGAAAUGUCAGCAGGGGAUUGCUAAGAAGGGAAUGGCUUCUGGAGUGAGCAGACUACCAGAGAACCCUGAGGACAACAAAGGACCGACUGAUCUCUCCUCUCACUAUGCAAGCUGAGAAUUACUGAUCUGCAAUAGACUCCUGCACCCCUGUGAAGCCUCAUAGAAGUAAAUGCGGCUCUGGGCAGACACUGGGGCUGUCCAUGCAGGGCUCUUUGCAGGAUGAGGAUCGAGGAAGGAAGGGAAAACAGUCAAGUGACAACAAACAUGGAAGCAUGGAGCCUUCGCAGCUCUGUACUAAUCUCACAAAUGUUGCCACUUAUGAUGGUCCAGUAUUAUCAGAGCUUCAGGAAGAACUGCAACAGUGGAGGACCUGGCGAUUUCUUCGAGGACCAGUUGCUGAGGGACAUAGCAAAAAAUUCAAGCUUGUUGGUGGUGGUCACGGAGCAGCUGCAGAUGGUGGAGUGCUGCUUCUGGGUCUAAGAAACGAGCACUGAUUGGUUGGAUUGCAUUGUAAUGCAGGUUUGGGACAAUGAGCAGAUGCAAAAAGCCACGUUCCUGGAUCUGUGGGCCAAGCUCAACCUGGCCCACCAGUGCAGGGACACUGCGUUGGCAGUUGAGAAAG
Mauremys mutica (yellowpond turtle) is the source of this 705-nucleotide long non-coding RNA. RefSeq lists it as uncharacterized. The record is from RefSeq and is a predicted model, not a curated record. The transcript has 3 exons. NCBI's taxonomy places the organism in Eukaryota, Metazoa, Chordata, Testudines, Geoemydidae.